RNAcentral lists this long non-coding RNA (273 nucleotides) under Physcomitrium patens. RNAcentral's name for it is "long non-coding RNA (PPAT_LNC004316)". The record is from RNAcentral. Lineage: Eukaryota; Viridiplantae; Streptophyta; Bryopsida; Funariales; Funariaceae.
UUGAAUUGAGGAUUAUUGAGGUUUAAAUAAGUCAAGUUCUCAGAAAGUAGAAUUUUACGUCUAGUCAGGGUUUUUAAGAUUUCUUGCAAUCUACUAAUUCGAUUGGAGUGAAAUUUAUGUGAGAGGAUAUUAGACUUAUUUUUCUAUGUGUAUAAGAAUUUUGAGAUCAAUUGAAUGGAGAAAAAGAGAGAUAUUGGCUUUAGGAGAUUAGCAUCAAGGUUGGAGAAGGAGGCCAGAAAAUACCCAAACAUGUUCUUGAGGUUAUCGUCUAUU